CCUCCUAUAUAUAGUGGUGAUUUAGGGCUGAUUUAAGACAACUUUUGUCACGUGCAACUCAGAUCUAGACAUCAUAGUUUUACCUCUAGAUCGUAUUUCUGCGAAGCCCUGCAGGAGUAGAUCGUCACCACCACCGGAGCGCCGUCACGCUGUCGGAGAACUCAUCUACUUCUCCGUCUUUCUUGCUGGAUCAAGAAGGCCGAUAUCAUCGUCGAGCUGUACGUGUGCUGAACGCGGAGGUGCCGUCCGUUUGGCGCUAGAUCGGAACGGGUCGUGGGACGGAUCGCGGGACGGUUUAUGGGACGGUUCAUGGGGCUGAUCGAGGGACGUGAAGACGUUCCACUACAUCAACCGCGUUUCUUAACGCUUCCUGUUGUGCGAUCUACAAGGGUACGUAGAUCUAAAUCUCCUCUCGUAGAUGGACAUCACCAUGAUAUGUUUUCAUGUGCGUGGGAAAAUUUUGGUUUUCCAUGCAACGUUCCCCAACAAUAUAGGCAUCCGGUGCGGGCUCAAAUCUUGGGCCUCGCACGGUGGAGGUUAGGGUUCGACCCGUAAACGCGCUGUAAAAACGCAUAUAUGCCGGCUCGAGGGGUCUUUUUGCGAGCACGGUAAAACUUUUACAGGCCGGACGUGCGAUACAGGGUCUGUUCUGGCCACUAAAAUGGGCCGAACCCGUAUACUCGCCGGAAUUUUACGGGUUCGGCCCUUUUACGGUGUCUGCUAGAGAUGCUCUAAAGUAUAUCUAUAUACAUCCAUAUGUACUAUUCUAAUGAAAUCUUUAAAAAUAUUUAUAUUUAGGAAUGGAGGGAGUAUGUCGCAUGAUAGAUGAUUCUCAUGCAUAGAUGUGAAAUAUGUAUGUUGGGAUACUUAGAAGAGUGGGGAUCUCUCUUAGGUAUGCAAGAUUACAAAUAACGUUUCAUGUACUCCUCCAUCCGGGUGUAUUGAACCUCUGGGUAGAGUAGAGAAGCUUCCUCUCCAUCCUCCCCAAUAUCAAAGUUUGUUGAGCAACCCUCGUAGAAAAUGUGGUGGAAAUGCCCAACCGCCAUCUGAUUUGUAAUGUCCGUACCUUCACACAAGUAGAAUAGUCUCAACCGGGAUUUACUUGCCAUCUGGGUAAACUUGUGUUUCAAGUAUCCUAAUAAUUUCUAUUUAACAACAGAAAAAUAUUUACCAUCCAUGAUCAUAACAAAUCUUAGAUAGUAAAAAGGUAAACAGUUGUUGAAUAUGUAAAGCAUAAUAUAAAAAAAGUAACAACAGAAAAUAUUUACCAUCCCUGAUUACAACAGAUCUUAGAUAGUAAGAAGGCAAACAAUUGUUGAAUAUGUAAACCAUAAUAAUAAUAAAAAACUUGUGUAGAAGGGAGACAUAUUUAUCCUAAUUAUUUAAUAUGUACUGGGUUUAUAUGAGACUCCCUACAUGAGUUUGAGAUCAUUUUAUUCAUGGCACGACUAUUAUCAUCUAACUAGUGAAAUUUUGUCACGAUCAGUUUAGUUUUGCUAUUACCACCUAACUAAUUAAGAUAGGUUUCUUGUGUACAUAUAUAUCAAUAGUGAAGCUCAAUAGUGGCAGACGUGGCAAGCGACUCAAACUUGAC
This 1594-nucleotide long non-coding RNA is filed under the name Hordeum vulgare. RNAcentral's name for it is "long non-coding RNA (HVUL_LNC018173)". Lineage: Eukaryota; Viridiplantae; Streptophyta; Magnoliopsida; Poales; Poaceae. The record is from RNAcentral.